Molecule: long non-coding RNA, 267 nt
Filed under: Elaeis guineensis (African oil palm)
Lineage: Eukaryota; Viridiplantae; Streptophyta; Magnoliopsida; Arecales; Arecaceae
Description: long non-coding RNA (EGUI_LNC067324)
Source: RNAcentral
UGGCAGGUAUAAUGUCCUUAUCUGGCCUUGUCCUUUUUGAGGACAUGGUGACCACAAUCACCUCAUUGGUCAUCAUCCAAUUAAGAAAUGCCAUUCUUACAAGAAAAACACUAUAUAGCUAUCCCAUCAAUGCUGGGAUUAAAUCAGGGCUAAACAAGUAGCCAAUAAUAGGAUGGUGCUUAUAUUGGGAUCCCAUACCUCCCACACCAUUCAAAAGGGUGUAGCUUUCUAUGAUAAAUUGGCUCAUUGAUAAUAUCUUCAAUUAGU